This 496-nucleotide ribosomal RNA is filed under the name uncultured bacterium. RNAcentral's name for it is "partial 16S ribosomal RNA". It matches the Rfam family "Bacterial small subunit ribosomal RNA", at positions 28 to 506 of the family's 1533-position model. The record is from RNAcentral.
GAUGAACGCUGGCGGCGUGCCUAAUACAUGCAAGUCGAGCGAACGGACGAGAAGCUUGCUUCUCUGAUGUUAGCGGCGGACGGGUGAGUAACACGUGGAUAACCUACCUAUAAGACUGGGAUAACUUCGGGAAACCGGAGCUAAUACCGGAUAAUAUUUUGAACCGCAUGGUUCAAAAGUGAAAGACGGUCCUGCUGUCACUUAUAGAUGGAUCUGCGCUGCAUUAGCUAGUUGGUAAGGUAACGGCUUACCAAGGCAACGAUGCAUAGCCGACCUGAGAGGGUGAUCGGCCACACUGGAACUGAGACACGGUCCAGACUCCUACGGGAGGCAGCAGUAGGGAAUCUUCCGCAAUGGGCGAAAGCCUGACGGAGCAACGCCGCGUGAGUGAUGAAGGUCUUCGGAUCGUAAAACUCUGUUAUUAGGGAAGAACAUAUGUGUAAGUAACUGUGCACAUCUUGACGGUACCUAAUCAGAAAGCCACGGCUAACUACGU